AAUCAACACCGUGCAGUAUCCGAUUCGCGCGGGGGGCGGGUGCGGGCGCGAUUCGCGUGGGAUUCGCACGGGAUUCGCCACCUGGCGAAUCCCCCCCCCCAAAAAAAAAAAUUGGAUUCGCGAAUCGGGUGCCCCAAUCUCACGAAUCCGGCUGUGGCGAGGGAGAUAUAGAGGAAGGAGGGGAUGUUUCCGGCGGUAAUCUCACCGGAAAUAUUGGGGGAAAGAGGCGGCGGCGUUUUCAGUUUGUGUGAGUGUGUGUCGUCGUGUUGCUGCUUGAGAGAAAGAGAGAUAGAGCAGAGGCGACGGAGAGGAGGAUGGGGGCGAGGGAGAGGGCCGACUGUCGGUUCUUCGUCGGAGGAGGAGCCGCGGCGGCGAAUUUUG
Molecule: long non-coding RNA, 381 nt
Filed under: Salvia miltiorrhiza (redroot sage)
Lineage: Eukaryota; Viridiplantae; Streptophyta; Magnoliopsida; Lamiales; Lamiaceae
Description: long non-coding RNA (SMIL_LNC000414)
Source: RNAcentral